This 495-nucleotide ribosomal RNA is filed under the name uncultured bacterium. RNAcentral's name for it is "bacterial SSU rRNA". It matches the Rfam family "Bacterial small subunit ribosomal RNA", at positions 28 to 509 of the family's 1533-position model. The record is from RNAcentral.
GAUGAACGCUAGCGGCAGGCCUAAUACAUGCAAGUCGGACGGUAGACGAUCUUUCGGGACUGUUGAGAGUGGCGCACGGGUGCGUAACGCGUAUGCAACCUACCUUAUACUGUGGGAUAGCCCGGGGAAACCCGGAUUAAUACCGCAUGGUACCAUCAGAUGGCAUCUGAAGAUGGUUAAAGCCCCGGCAUCUGUCGGGGCGGUAUAAGAUGGGCAUGCGUAGGAUUAGCUGGUUGGCGGGGUAACGGCCCACCAAGGCAACGAUGGAUAGGGGAACUGAGAGGUUUAUCCCCCACACUGGUACUGAGACACGGACCAGACUCCUACGGGAGCAGCAGUGAGGAAUAUUGGUCAAUGGGCGAGAGCCUGAACCAGCCAAGUCGCGUGCAGGAAGAAUGUCCUAUGGAUUGUAAACUGCUUUUGCAGGGGAAUAAAGUGAGCCACGUGUGGUUUUUUGUAUGUACUCUGCGAAUAAGGAUCGGCUAACUCCGUGCC